AUUUAUAUAGUUUAACUAAAAACUUUACAUUUUCACUGUAAAAAUAAAAAAAUAUUUUUUAUAAAUU
RNAcentral lists this transfer RNA (67 nucleotides) under Simulium quinquestriatum. RNAcentral's name for it is "tRNA-Glu". The record is from RNAcentral. Lineage: Eukaryota; Metazoa; Arthropoda; Insecta; Diptera; Simuliidae.